Gambusia affinis (western mosquitofish) is the source of this 208-nucleotide long non-coding RNA. RefSeq lists it as uncharacterized. The transcript has 3 exons. NCBI's taxonomy places the organism in Eukaryota, Metazoa, Chordata, Actinopteri, Cyprinodontiformes, Poeciliidae. The record is from RefSeq and is a predicted model, not a curated record.
UGUUGCACUGCUUGAAGACCUGUUGAUCAAACCCUCUGGUGCGAAAAACUAGAACCCAUCAUGCACCAGGGAAACGAGCCGCUCGGAAACAUCAUCUGGGAAGCUGCGAUGAUUUUCCUUCAGAAGAUGUCUCUGGAAACCUCUGAGGCUCUGGACAUCAGGAAUAGUUGCAGAACGAGCGUUUGAGAAGAAAACCACACAGAGAAAC